GACGAACGCUGGCGGCGCGCCUAACACAUGCAAGUCGAACGAGAGAGAGGAAGCUUGCUUCCUCAAUCGAGUGGCGAACGGGUGAGUAACGCGUGAGGAACCUGCCUCAAAGAGGGGGACAACAGUUGGAAACGACUGCUAAUACCGCAUAAGCCCACAGCUCGGCAUCGAGCAGAGGGAAAAGGAGCAAUCCGCUUUGAGAUGGCCUCGCGUCCGAUUAGCUAGUUGGUGAGGUAACGGCCCACCAAGGCGACGAUCGGUAGCCGGACUGAGAGGUUGAACGGCCACAUUGGGACUGAGACACGGCCCAGACUCCUACGGGAGGCAGCAGUGGGGAAUAUUGCACAAUGGGGGAAACCCUGAUGCAGCGACGCCGCGUGGAGGAAGAAGGUCUUCGGAUUGUAAACUCCUGUUGUUGAGGAAGAUAAUGACGGUACUCAACAAGGAAGUGACGGCUAACUACGUGCCAGCAGCCGCGGUAAAACGUAGGUCACAAGCGUUGUCCGGAAUUACUGGGUGUAAAGGGAGCGCAGGCGGGAGAACAAGUUGGAAGUGAAAUCCAUGGGCUCAACCCAUGAACUGCUUUCAAAACUGUUUUUCUUGAGUAGUGCAGAGGUAGGCGGAAUUCCCGGUGUAGCGGUGGAAUGCGUAGAUAUCGGGAGGAACACCAGUGGCGAAGGCGGCCUACUGGGCACCAACUGACGCUGAGGCUCGAAAGUGUGGGUAGCAAACAGGAUUAGAUACCCUGGUAGUCCACACCGUAAACGAUGAUUACUAGGUGUUGGGGGAUUGACCCCCUCCAGUGCCGCAGGUAACACAAUAAAUAAUCCCCCUGGGGAGGGCGACCGCAAGGUAGAAACUCAAAAGAAUUGACGGGGGCCCCCCCACGCAGUGGAGUAUGUGGUUUAAUUUGACGCAACGCGAAGAACCUUACCAAGUCUUGACAUCCUGCGACGCACAUAGAAAUAUGUGUUUCCUUCGGGGCGCAGAGACAGGUGGUGCAUGGUUGUCGUCAGCUCGUGUCGUGAGAUGUUGGGUUAAGUCCCGCAACGAGCGCAACCCUUAUGGUCAGUUACUACGCAAGAGGACUCUGGCCAGACUGCCGUUGACAAAACGGAGGAAGGUGGGGGGGACGUCAAAUCAUCAUGCCCCCUAUGACUUGGGGUACACACGUACUACAAUGGCGUUAAACAAAGAGAAGCAAGACCGCGAGGGGGAGCAAAACUCAGAAACAACGUCCCAGUUCGGACUGCAGGCUGCAACUCGCCUGCACGAAGUCGGAAUUGCUAGUAAUCGUGGAUCAGCACGCCACGGCG
RNAcentral lists this ribosomal RNA (1316 nucleotides) under uncultured bacterium. Its description in RNAcentral is "bacterial SSU rRNA". It matches the Rfam family "Bacterial small subunit ribosomal RNA", at positions 28 to 1364 of the family's 1533-position model. The record is from RNAcentral.